UUUGUGAUGUGAGAGUAGUGGGAAAGUAGUUGGGCAAAGGAUUCGAGUUGAUAUUGUUGUAGUUGUAGUAUUGUAGUUGCUGUUGUUAUAUGUAUUGUUGCUGUUGUUGUUG
Molecule: long non-coding RNA, 112 nt
Organism: Drosophila arizonae
Lineage: Eukaryota; Metazoa; Arthropoda; Insecta; Diptera; Drosophilidae
Source: RefSeq, a predicted model, not a curated record